RNAcentral lists this ribosomal RNA (120 nucleotides) under candidate division Kazan bacterium GW2011_GWA1_44_22. The record is from RNAcentral.
GUCCUGGUGUCCGAAGCGAGAUGGAAACACCCGUUCCCAUCCCGAACACGGCAGUUAAGCAUCUCAGCGCCGAUGAUAGUUGCCCUUUGUGGGUCGCAAAAGUAGGUCGAUGCCAGGACA